This 225-nucleotide ribosomal RNA is filed under the name Petasospora americana. RNAcentral describes it as "Cyberlindnera americana partial 26S ribosomal RNA". It matches the Rfam family "Eukaryotic large subunit ribosomal RNA", at positions 1623 to 1848 of the family's 3401-position model. The record is from RNAcentral. Lineage: Eukaryota; Fungi; Ascomycota; Saccharomycetes; Phaffomycetales; Wickerhamomycetaceae.
ACUUGGAUAUGGAUUCUUCACGGUAACGUAACUGAAUGUGGAGACGUCGGCGUGAGCCCUGGNAGGAGUUAUCUNUUCUUCUUAACAGCUUAUCACCCUGGAAUUGGUUUAUCNGGAGAUAGGGUNUUAUGGCUNGAAGAGCGCAACACCUNUGUUGCGUCCGGUGCNCUUACNACGGCCCUUNAAAAUCCACAGGAAGGAAUAGUUUUCAUGCCAAGNNGUACU